Molecule: long non-coding RNA, 525 nt
Filed under: Carica papaya (papaya)
Lineage: Eukaryota; Viridiplantae; Streptophyta; Magnoliopsida; Brassicales; Caricaceae
Description: long non-coding RNA (CPAP_LNC000360)
Source: RNAcentral
GGUGUUCAAACUCCAAAUUGCAUCAGGCAGACUGUCUUUGAUGCAGUAGCUCUUGAUUACCAAUCUGUUACCGUUAUCACUGAUGCCACCGCUGCUGCAACACCUGAGAUACAUGCUGGCAAGUACUCUCUGAUUUGUUGAAUUGAUAUGAUUUUAUCUGUUGCUAUUUGUUUCUUUUGAUUCUGUUGUGGCAGGCAACCUGGGUUCACUCCCAUGCAUGCCAUUUCCUGUCCUUAAAUUUGACGUUCUGUUAGUUAUAAGAAGAUAUUGGAUAAGAAAUUGAGUCUCUUUGUUCCUAUUAGAAAACAAAAUAUACUUGAACUAGGAGAAUACUGUAUGAGUCAAAUACAUUAUAUGAGUGAAUUCGUAGCUUACAUUAUUGUAACCAGACAAAGAUUCUCCAUCAUCGGUGGUAGUUUGACUUUUUGUUGUCCUUCUCUGCACAUAUACGCAGUUAUGAUACAUGAAUGUUGAAUAAAUUACAACAAAAAGAAAAUUUAGUUCAUAAAUAGAGUAAUUUACCAC